AUUUCCCUACAACCAAAUAAAAUGCUAUCUCUUUUUAAGGCGAUUCUAUGCUCUCCUUGCUGAAGAUUUUCUUCCUGUUUAUUUAAGAGAAGAACAGAGUGAAGUAUGGAAUGUCAACAGAAAUCAUUCUGGUAAAUUACUGAAGAUAGAGUUGUUCAAAAUCCUGGCAGGAUUCUAUCACAGUUUCAACCCAAACAAUUAGACAUUGCGUAAUGGAAUGGUAAUAAGGAGCAGUGAAAAGGUAAAGAAAGAACAAAAACUCACCAUCCGAUUCUGAAGCUGCCCUGAAGAUCAAGUAGCUGCUCGGAAGAGGCUGUGUGAUGGAACCCACAUUCUCUCCCUUUGGACCCUAGAAUGGCAUGUGAAAUUAAAUUAAGGACAUAUUGUCAUUUUCUGUAGUUCUCUAAUCCCUGCUUUUUAUUUUCAUUUUCACACUGCUGGUGUCAAAACGGAAAUUGUACAACCACUUUUAAUGUCAAUCUAAAUUUCAAAUAUAUUUUGCACUGUCUAAA
Molecule: long non-coding RNA, 512 nt
Organism: Anolis carolinensis (green anole)
Lineage: Eukaryota; Metazoa; Chordata; Lepidosauria; Squamata; Anolidae
Exons: 3
Source: RefSeq, a predicted model, not a curated record